Molecule: ribosomal RNA, 274 nt
Filed under: uncultured bacterium
Lineage: Bacteria
Description: partial 16S ribosomal RNA
Rfam family: Bacterial small subunit ribosomal RNA
Source: RNAcentral
AUACGGAGGGUGCAAGCGUUACUCGGAAUCACUGGGCGUAAAGCGCGCGCAGGCGGCUAUUUAAGUUGGAUGUGAAAGCCUACGGCUCAACCGUUGAACUGCAUCCAAAACUAUUUAGCUAGAGUGUGGGAGAGGAAGAUGGAAUUAGUUGUGUAGGGGUAAAAUCCGUAGAGAUAACUAGGAAUACCAAAAGCGAAGGCAAUCUUCUGGAACACUACUGACGCUGAGGCGCGAAAGCGUGGGGAGCAAACAGGAUUAGAAACCCUAGUAGUCC